CCUACGGGAGGCUGCAGUGGGGAAUAUUGGACAAUGGGGGGAACCCUGAUCCAGCGACGCCGCGUGAGUGAAGAAGUCUUUCGGUAUGUAAAGCUCUAUCAGCAGGGAAGAAAGACAUGACGGUACCUGACUAAGACGCCCCGGCUACCUACGUGCCAGCAGCCGCGGUACUACGUCGGGGGCAAGCGUUAUCCGGAUUUACUGGGUGUAAAGGGAGCGUAGACGGCGAUGCAAGUCUGAAGUGAAAGGCGGGGGCCCAACCCCCGGACUGCUUUGGAAACUGUAUGGCUGGAGUGCAGGAGAGGUAAGUGGAAUUCCUAGUGUAGCGGUGAAAUGCGUAGAUAUUAGGAGGAACACCAGUGGCGAAGGCGGCUUACUGGACUGUAACUGACGUUGAGGCUCGAAAGCGUGGGGAGCAAACAGGAUUAGAUACCCGGGUAGUC
RNAcentral lists this ribosomal RNA (443 nucleotides) under uncultured bacterium. RNAcentral's name for it is "partial 16S ribosomal RNA". It matches the Rfam family "Bacterial small subunit ribosomal RNA", at positions 338 to 795 of the family's 1533-position model. The record is from RNAcentral.